ACGGUUGUUUUUUAAAUGUUGAACAACGCGCCCGCCGUAGACUCGGUAAAAGUUACAUGCUUCGACAGUUGGGAUACCACACUCGCUCGUGAUUAUUUUGUGGUGUAAUUCAAAUUUGCAAAUGCAGUCAUCCGUUAAAUCGAGCGCCCAAAUUAAAAUGAGUCACCAUAGCUUGAGGUAAGUCGAUGUUCACGGAGGAUAGCCCGGUAAAGUGAUUAAUGUACGUAACCAUCUAGAUAUACAGUUUAUGUAUCGGAGGCCAGAUGAGAGCUUGAGCAAAAGACGUUAGCGACACCCUCAUUGUAUAGCAGGCCUGUCUCCCAAAUAGGACCGUUGGAGGGUGGGAGUGAGACCCGUUACAAAAUACUAGUGUGACAAUUUCUUGACCGUGACAUCCCUAACGUUAGUUGGAUUACAUUUCUGUAUAAGUACGGUUUUAAGUGUAAGUUACUCUGUUUAAUUUGCUUAGAGUUUGUUUGUAGAGUCACUUAUACUAAAAUGUAGUUAAAAUGUAAAAUGCUUAAAGAUAAUUGUAUAGUCACUAUUAACUAUUACUAUUGUCACAUGUAUAAUUGUUUGUUUUAGGACACACUUUGCCAUGCAGGCCACUGGAUGCUGACUACUGAAGAUAUUAAUCCAGAGAGUGGAACAAGCAGCGUCAUCUAAAAUGCCAGGAUACAGAAGAAACAGGUUGCAGUGAACCCACAUGUCGCCGCUCUUCUAAACACAAUGAUGAAUAUUCAGUGUAAUCGAUGAAAAUUCCAGCUACUUGUUGUGCUCUGAUGGAUCAAGAUGUGGACCGUUUUACAGACUCACUUGGGCCUUGUUUUGCAAUGUUGUUUCAUGAUGGUAAUGUUGGUUAACGUGUUGUUUAAACAUUAAUGUUUAAAGAGCCAUGUUGGAUACUAUGAAGUUCUUACUGAAUAAAAUUAUUUCAUGUACAACAACGUACACAAUUUGUCUGUAAUGUAUUUUUGUAUCAAUUAAAAAAAAAUAAACACUGUAUAUCCAGUAUGCAAAACAUACUGGAUAUACAGUGAUUUAUGUAUUUCUUCUAAAUAAAGUAAAUUAAAAUCAAGCAAUUUGCUGUAAAAAAUACAGCAUUAUACUGUUGCUAUUCAAAAUUACAGUUUUUCCUGUAUUCUGCAAUUACAGUAAAUGGCUGUAAAUUAAAUUACAGUACUGUGGCUGUACAAUUUACAGUAACUGGCUGGCAACCCUGCUGCCAGUAGUUUACUGUAAAUUUUACAGGA
This is a long non-coding RNA of Triplophysa dalaica, 1253 nucleotides long. RefSeq lists it as uncharacterized. Lineage: Eukaryota; Metazoa; Chordata; Actinopteri; Cypriniformes; Nemacheilidae. The transcript has 3 exons. The record is from RefSeq and is a predicted model, not a curated record.